UUGUUGCAGAGUGAUCAGAUGAGAGGGUGUCAGUGCCCUUGAACUUGGCUGCAGUCCAAUCAGAUGAUGUCGCCGAGGCACAUGACAAAACCCCCUUUUUCCCUCCGAAGAAGAAGAGGGAGAGAGAAGAGUACAGAAGAGAGAGGGUGCGUCCGAAAUCGCAUACUGCUUACUGGGUCUACAUUUGAAUUUGAACGUACUACUCGACCGUUAAAAAGUACGUUCUAUAUAGUAUGAGUGUGGGUAGUAUGAAAGGAAUUCGGUGGUACUACAUCUGACGUGUUGAUGUCGUCACGUGUCAUGCGUCUUCACAACAGCGCGAAAAUUUAAAGAGCCCCCUCAACUGCGCGAACAUCGGUGAUGUUGAUCGUAAUUGUUACUGUUUUCAUCCGCGUUUUAACUUUGAUUGAAUCAACAUCUCUGAGGAGGAACAGGUCAGCUGCUCGCAGAUCACGCCUUCCUCGACAGCUUCUAAAAUGUUUAUCAAAUAAUACUGUGAGCCCUACAACCUACUGCCACCUGAAUGCUGCUGUGCCAAUCCUUCGACUGUACUUCGAAGAUGGAUCUGACCUUCGUCCCAACCUCCGGCUUUCUCGACAGUCCAUCAUGUCCCUCAUCGCUGCUUUGAGGUCAGAUUCUGAUCAUGGCUGGGAAAAAGAUAUUGAGGUGCUGGUGUUUCUCUACUGGCUGGCCCAUGCAGCAUCAUAUCAUGUGGUGUCUCUGGCCUUUGACAUCCCAAAGUCCACGGUGCAUGACAUUGUGCACAGAAUCAGCAGGGCAGUCAUCUUUAUUUUGAGGAGGGUGAUCGCUUUCCCGACCCCAGAUGACCUGGAGGAAGUGGGGGCAGGUUUUGUCCAGCUGGCUGGGUCUCCAGCUUUUCGCAUGGUGGCUGGUGCAAUAGAUGGGUGCCACAUCCGGAUCAAGUCACCAGCAAGUGAAGCCCUAUGCUACUUUAACAGAAAGCUGUUCCACUCAGUCCAGCUGCAGGCCAUCACCAAGCUCUAUCUUCAGAACGGGGACAUUGUUGAUCCAGAGGUUGUGGAGGAUCCUGUCGAUGACCCACCUGAGCCCCAAAACACAGAAGCCAGAGCAGGAGAGGAUGUGCGGGACAAUCUGGCUGCAGCUGUGUCAGCACCAGACAACUGUGCACCUGCUCGUCAUGAGCUUGAUUACCUGUGAGACAGUUUAACAGGUCAAGACUCUGCAAAUCAGUUCAUGUUCUCAGAUUCCCAUUGUUUAAGCUUGUUAGCUGGUUAAUAUGUGAAUAGUUAGGUGUGUGUGGGUGUUGUGAUGUGAAAAAGUGCAGUAGCAGUAUCUAGAGGAGGUGGAAGUGCAGAGCUACUGCUCACUGCCACUGGCAGCAGGUUUUCAGGGUUUCUGCAGGUUUUAUGAAGGUAAAUUUAAGAUUUUUUUUUUAUUGGCAAUGUUGAUUGUAAUUGUAACUGCUUUCAUCGGCAUUUUAACAUUAUCUUUUUUAGAAAGCUAUAUGAAUAAUCUGAAGGGAAUACAACUCAUCAUGUCCUCUAAAUGUACAUUUAUAGGGAGCAGACAUAAAUUAAAAAAAUAUUUACUUGGGAAGCAAAAUUAUGAUAUAAGAAGUCUUGUAUUCUGUGAAAUUGAACAAAAUGAAUUUUAUUAUUAAAACAAGGACAAAUAUCUGCCUGUGGGCUCAGAAAAAUCUUCAUACCAAUAGAAAAAUAAUUUUCAUACCCCAGUGACAGAUAUUGUUCUUGUUAAGUAUAAACAAGACAACUUCUUCAUUUUGCAUCUCAAAUAAAUGUAUUUUGAUUUAUUAUUUAUAUUCA
Molecule: long non-coding RNA, 1805 nt
Organism: Cyprinus carpio (common carp)
Lineage: Eukaryota; Metazoa; Chordata; Actinopteri; Cypriniformes; Cyprinidae
Source: Ensembl